Poecilia latipinna (sailfin molly) is the source of this 846-nucleotide long non-coding RNA. RefSeq lists it as uncharacterized. The transcript is spliced from 3 exons. NCBI's taxonomy places the organism in Eukaryota, Metazoa, Chordata, Actinopteri, Cyprinodontiformes, Poeciliidae. The record is from RefSeq and is a predicted model, not a curated record.
GCGGCUGCUGGUCGGGACGUUCGUCGCUCUGUUCUUCAACCUGCUGACUCUGCUCUCCGUCAGGAACAAACCCUUCUCCUACGUCUCUGACGCCGCCAGCAGCAGCUGGCUCCAGGAACACGUGGCCGACCUGAGCCGCAGUGAGAUGUCCCCAUUCAACCCGAACACAGUCUGGGGGCCAACUGGGUUACGUAAAGCCUGCUGCUCUGUUGGCCUCACCAGCCACAAGCCUGAAAUCUCUCUGCUCUGCUCUGUGCGUGCACGUGGGCGUGCACGUGGAAGUUGCUGUUGGGGAGGACAGACAUCCAAUUUUAAAAAAAGGAAACAAACGUUUUCUCUGGCAGGAAUAGAAAUAACAUCACAGUGUCUGACAGUUCCUGCUAACAGAGUGGAUUAAAUUUAGAACUGAUUAAUUAUUUCUCUGUAGCAGAAAUAUGAAAUCACUUUCAACAAUAAGAAAACACAAGAUAAUAAAAUCCAAACUAGAGCUGCAGACCUGUUGGCUGAAUCGAACCUGGUCCUUCAUGUCCAGCCAGUCGUCCAGGUUCCCUAAGAUGCUAGCCUAGCAUCAGGUUAGCAUGGGGAUGCUACGGCUAACACGCUCAGGAAGCUUCAGUUCAACAAUUUCAUGAUGGAACUGACUGAGUUAGAAAACCCAGUCCUGUCUGGACCUGCAGGUCAGCCGGGCCUCACAGCUGAAGCCUGAACAAGUCAGAGGAAGUUGGACUCUGAUGCUUUAGCAGCACGGCGCGAGAUGUAGCGGUUUGGUAGCUACGACCUUUCACCACUCCAUGUUUUCACCAUGUUUUCACCACUCCAUGUUUUCACCACUCCAUGUUUUCACCA